UACAGAGGGGGCGAGCGUUGUUCGGAAUUACUGGGCGUAAAGGGCGCGUAGGCGGCCUGCUAAGUCAUACGUGAAAUCCCUCGGCUCAACCGAGGAACUGCGUCUGAUACUGGUUGGCUUGAAUUCGGGAGAGGGAUGCGGAAUUCCAGGUGUAGCGGUGAAAUGCGCAGAUAUCAGGAAGAACACCAAUGGCGAAGGCAGCUCUCUGGGACGGUACUGACGCUGAGACGCGAAAGCGUGGGGAGCGAACAGG
Molecule: ribosomal RNA, 253 nt
Filed under: uncultured bacterium
Lineage: Bacteria
Description: partial 16S ribosomal RNA
Rfam family: Bacterial small subunit ribosomal RNA
Source: RNAcentral